CGACUAAGCGUACACGGUGGAUGCCCUGGCAGUCAGAGGCGAUGAAGGACGUGCUAAUCUGCGAUAAGCGUCGGUAAGGUGAUAUGAACCGUUAUAACCGGCGAUUUCCGAAUGGGGAAACCCAGUGUGAUUCGUCACACUAUCAUUAACUGAAUCCAUAGGUUAAUGAGGCGAACCGGGGGAACUGAAACAUCUAAGUACCCCGAGGAAAAGAAAUCAACCGAGAUUCCCCCAGUAGCGGCGAGCGAACGGGGAGCAGCCCAGAGCCUGAAUCAGUGUGUGUGUUAGUGGAAGCGUCUGGAAAGGCGUGCGAUACAGGGUGACAGCCCCGUACACAAAAAUGCACAUACUGUGAGCUCGAUGAGUAGGGCGGGACACGUGGUAUCCUGUCUGAAUAUGGGGGGACCAUCCUCCAAGGCUAAAUACUCCUGACUGACCGAUAGUGAACCAGUACCGUGAGGGAAAGGCGAAAAGAACCCCGGCGAGGGGAGUGAAAAAGAACCUGAAACCGUGUACGUACAAGCAGUGGGAGCACGCUUAGGCGUGUGACUGCGUACCUUUUGUAUAAUGGGUCAGCGACUUAUAUUCUGUAGCAAGGUUAACCGAAUAGGGGAGCCGAAGGGAAACCGAGUCUUAACUGGGCGUUAAGUUGCAGGGUAUAGACCCGAAACCCGGUGAUCUAGCCAUGGGCAGGUUGAAGGUUGGGUAACACUAACUGGAGGACCGAACCGACUAAUGUUGAAAAAUUAGCGGAUGACUUGUGGCUGGGGGUGAAAGGCCAAUCAAACCGGGAGAUAGCUGGUUCUCCCCGAAAGCUAUUUAGGUAGCGCCUCGUGAAUUCAUCUCCGGGGGUAGAGCACUGUUUCGGCAAGGGGGUCAUCCCGACUUACCAACCCGAUGCAAACUGCGAAUACCGGAGAAUGUUAUCACGGGAGACACACGGCGGGUGCUAACGUCCGUCGUGAAGAGGGAAACAACCCAGACCGCCAGCUAAGGUCCCAAAGUCAUGGUUAAGUGGGAAACGAUGUGGGAAGGCCCAGACAGCCAGGAUGUUGGCUUAGAAGCAGCCAUCAUUUAAAGAAAGCGUAAUAGCUCACUGGUCGAGUCGGCCUGCGCGGAAGAUGUAACGGGGCUAAACCAUGCACCGAAGCUGCGGCAGCGACGCUUAUGCGUUGUUGGGUAGGGGAGCGUUCUGUAAGCCUGUGAAGGUGUGCUGUGAGGUAUGCUGGAGGUAUCAGAAGUGCGAAUGCUGACAUAAGUAACGAUAAAGCGGGUGAAAAGCCCGCUCGCCGGAAGACCAAGGGUUCCUGUCCAACGUUAAUCGGGGCAGGGUGAGUCGACCCCUAAGGCGAGGCCGAAAGGCGUAGUCGAUGGGAAACAGGUUAAUAUUCCUGUACUUGGUGUUACUGCGAAGGGGGGACGGAGAAGGCUAUGUUGGCCGGGCGACGGUUGUCCCGGUUUAAGCGUGUAGGCUGGUUUUCCAGGCAAAUCCGGAAAAUCAAGGCCGAGGCGUGAUGACGAGGCACUACGGUGCUGAAGCAACAAAUGCCCUGCUUCCAGGAAAAGCCUCUAAGCAUCAGGUAACAUCAAAUCGUACCCCAAACCGACACAGGUGGUCAGGUAGAGAAUACCAAGGCGCUUGAGAGAACUCGGGUGAAGGAACUAGGCAAAAUGGUGCCGUAACUUCGGGAGAAGGCACGCUGAUACGUAGGUGAAGCGACUUGCUCGUGGAGCUGAAAUCAGUCGAAGAUACCAGCUGGCUGCAACUGUUUAUUAAAAACACAGCACUGUGCAAACACGAAAGUGGACGUAUACGGUGUGACGCCUGCCCGGUGCCGGAAGGUUAAUUGAUGGGGUUAGCGCAAGCGAAGCUCUUGAUCGAAGCCCCGGUAAACGGCGGCCGUAACUAUAACGGUCCUAAGGUAGCGAAAUUCCUUGUCGGGUAAGUUCCGACCUGCACGAAUGGCGUAAUGAUGGCCAGGCUGUCUCCACCCGAGACUCAGUGAAAUUGAACUCGCUGUGAAGAUGCAGUGUACCCGCGGCAAGACGGAAAGACCCCGUGAACCUUUACUAUAGCUUGACACUGAACAUUGAGCCUUGAUGUGUAGGAUAGGUGGGAGGCUUUGAAGUGUGGACGCCAGUCUGCAUGGAGCCGACCUUGAAAUACCACCCUUUAAUGUUUGAUGUUCUAACGUGGACCCGUGAUCCGGGUUGCGGACAGUGUCUGGUGGGUAGUUUGACUGGGGCGGUCUCCUCCUAAAGAGUAACGGAGGAGCACGAAGGUUGGCUAAUCCUGGUCGGACAUCAGGAGGUUAGUGCAAUGGCAUAAGCCAGCUUGACUGCGAGCGUGACGGCGCGAGCAGGUGCGAAAGCAGGUCAUAGUGAUCCGGUGGUUCUGAAUGGAAGGGCCAUCGCUCAACGGAUAAAAGGUACUCCGGGGAUAACAGGCUGAUACCGCCCAAGAGUUCAUAUCGACGGCGGUGUUUGGCACCUCGAUGUCGGCUCAUCACAUCCUGGGGCUGAAGUAGGUCCCAAGGGUAUGGCUGUUCGCCAUUUAAAGUGGUACGCGAGCUGGGUUUAGAACGUCGUGAGACAGUUCGGUCCCUAUCUGCCGUGGGCGCUGGAGAACUGAGGGGGGCUGCUCCUAGUACGAGAGGACCGGAGUGGACGCAUCACUGGUGUUCGGGUUGUCAUGCCAAUGGCACUGCCCGGUAGCUAAAUGCGGAAGAGAUAAGUGCUGAAAGCAUCUAAGCACGAAACUUGCCCCGAGAUGAGUUCUCCCUGACCCUUUAAGGGUCCUGAAGGAACGUUGAAGACGACGACGUUGAUAGGCCGGGUGUGUAAGCGCAGCGAUGCGUUGAGCUAACCGGUACUAAUGAACCGUGAGGCUUAACCUUACAACGCCGAAG
RNAcentral lists this ribosomal RNA (2909 nucleotides) under Shigella flexneri. RNAcentral's name for it is "partial 23S ribosomal RNA". It matches the Rfam family "Bacterial large subunit ribosomal RNA". The record is from RNAcentral. Lineage: Bacteria; Pseudomonadati; Pseudomonadota; Gammaproteobacteria; Enterobacterales; Enterobacteriaceae.